Molecule: ribosomal RNA, 465 nt
Filed under: uncultured bacterium
Lineage: Bacteria
Description: partial 16S ribosomal RNA
Rfam family: Bacterial small subunit ribosomal RNA
Source: RNAcentral
GACGAACGCUGGCGGCGUGCUUAACACAUGCAAGUCGAACGGAAAGGCCCUGCUUGCAGGGUACUCGAGUGGCGAACGGGUGAGUAACACGUGGGUGAUCUGCCCUGCACUUCGGGAUAAGCCUGGGAAACUGGGUCUAAUACCGGAUAGGAGCCAUUUUUAGUGUGAUGGUUGGAAAGUUUUUUCGGUGUAGGAUGAGCUCGCGGCCUAUCAGCUUGUUGGUGGGGUAAUGGCCUACCAAGGCGGCGACGGGUAGCCGGCCUGAGAGGGUGGACGGCCAACAUGGGGAUGGGAUUCCGCCCAGACUCCUACCGGGGGCAACAGUUGGGAAUAUUGCACAAUGGGCGCAAGCCUGAUGCAGCGACGCCGCGUGGGGGAUGACGGCCUUCGGGUUGUAAACUCCUUUCGCUAGGGACGAAGCUUUUUGUGACGGUACCUAGAUAAGAAGCACCGGCUAACUACGUG